This 465-nucleotide ribosomal RNA is filed under the name uncultured bacterium. RNAcentral describes it as "partial 16S ribosomal RNA". It matches the Rfam family "Bacterial small subunit ribosomal RNA", at positions 28 to 507 of the family's 1533-position model. The record is from RNAcentral.
GACGAACGCUGGCGGCGUGCUUAACACAUGCAAGUCGUACGGUAAGGCCCUUUCGUGGGUACACGAGUGGCGAACGGGUGAGUAACACGUGAGUAACCUGCCCACAACUUUGGGAUAACGCUAGGAAACUGGUGCUAAUACUGGAUAUGUGCUCCUGCUGCAUGGUGGGGGUUGGAAAGCUCCGGCGGUUUUGGAUGUACUCGCGGCCUAUCAGCUUGUUGGUGGGGUAGUGGCCUACCAAGGCGGCGACGGGUAGCCGGCCUGAGAGGGUGACCGGCCACAGUGGGACUGAGAUACGGCCCAGACUCCUACGGGAGGCAGCAGUGGGGAAUAUUGCACAAUGGGCGCAAGCCUGAUGCAGCAACGCCGCGUGCGGGAUGACGGCCUUCGGGUUGUAAACCGAUUUCAGCAGGGACGAAGCUUUUUGUGACGGUACCUGCAGAAGAAGCACCGGCUAACUACGUG